This 285-nucleotide small RNA is filed under the name Citrobacter freundii. Its description in RNAcentral is "5_ureB_sRNA". It matches the Rfam family "5' ureB small RNA". Lineage: Bacteria; Pseudomonadati; Pseudomonadota; Gammaproteobacteria; Enterobacterales; Enterobacteriaceae. The record is from RNAcentral.
CUCUUGCGCCUGCUGUGGGCAGAUCCAGUGAAUAUGCGUAUCCACGCCGCUUGCGGUGACGAUCUUGCCUUCCCCGGCGAUGACUUCAGUUCCCACGCCUAUCGGGAUCGUAACGUUGGGCUGAAUAUCGGGAUUACCUGCCUUUCCGAUGGCGAAGAUCCUGCCGGCUUUGAUACCAAUAUCCGCUUUCACGAUCCCCCAGUGAUCGACGAUCAGCGCGUUGGUUAUCACCAGAUCCACACAUGCAUCGGCGCGCAUUUGCCCCUGGCCCAUGCCGUCGCGGAU